Molecule: ribosomal RNA, 467 nt
Filed under: uncultured bacterium
Lineage: Bacteria
Description: bacterial SSU rRNA
Rfam family: Bacterial small subunit ribosomal RNA
Source: RNAcentral
CUAGCGGCAGGCCUAACACAUGCAAGUAGAACGGUAACAGAGAGAGCUUGCUCUCUGCUGACGAGUUGCGAACGGGUGCGUAACGCGUAUGCAACCUACCCAUAACAGGGGGAUAGCCCAUAGAAAUGUGGAUUAAUACCCCAUAAUAUCAUAGAUUGGCAUCAUGAAAUGAUUAAAACUCCGGUGGUUAUGGAUGGGCAUGCGUGACAUUAGCUAGUUGGUGAGGUAACUGCUCACCAAGGCGACGAUGUCUAGGGGUUCUGAGAGGAUGAUCCCCCACACUGGUACUGAGACACGGACCAGACUCCUACGGGAGGCAGCAGUGAGGAAUAUUGCGCAAUGGAGGAAACUCUGACGCAGCCAUGCCGCGUGCAGGAAGACUGCCCUAUGGGUUGUAAACUGCUUUUAUAUAGGAAGAACUACAGCUACGUGUAGCUGUUUGACGGUACUAUACGAAUAAGGACCGG